Molecule: non-coding RNA, 30 nt
Filed under: Rattus norvegicus (Norway rat)
Lineage: Eukaryota; Metazoa; Chordata; Mammalia; Rodentia; Muridae
Source: RNAcentral
UGUUCAAACCAAACAGAACAGACUUAUCCU